Molecule: ribosomal RNA, 253 nt
Filed under: uncultured bacterium
Lineage: Bacteria
Description: partial 16S ribosomal RNA
Rfam family: Bacterial small subunit ribosomal RNA
Source: RNAcentral
GACAGAGGGUGCAAACGUUGUUCGGAAUUACUGGGCGUAAAGCGUGCGUAGACGGUUAUGUAAGUCGAGUGUGAAAGCCCCGGGCUCAACCUGGGAAUUGCAUUCGAGACUGCAUAGCUAGGGUUCGGAAGAGGGAAGCGGAAUUUCCGGUGUAGCGGUGAAAUGCGUAGAUAUCGGAAGGAACACCAGUGGCGAAAGCGGCUCACUGGACCGGAACUGACGCUGAGGCGCGAAAGCGUGGGGAGCAAACAGG